Patiria miniata (bat star) is the source of this 788-nucleotide long non-coding RNA. RefSeq lists it as uncharacterized. The transcript has 2 exons. NCBI's taxonomy places the organism in Eukaryota, Metazoa, Echinodermata, Asteroidea, Valvatida, Asterinidae. The record is from RefSeq and is a predicted model, not a curated record.
CUCAAAAAUCGGCCUCGAGGCCGAGGCCGGCCUCGAGACCUCCAACACUGGUGAUUUGAUUAUAACUCAAAGUGUGCAUACUACUCGAAACAAAAAUAUAUCUCAUCACAUGGUAUCAACACGAUUUUCAAGAGCUCUAAGUGACAGAUACUGGUUACUUUUAAAAUCGCACAUUUUGCGAGAAUUCUUAGAACUUACCAUUGCCCUCAAGCAGCAGAUCCAGCAGCUCAGGUUCCUGGACAUGUGGUAGAGGUGCGCCCUGUCUCUCCCAGACUUCUAUUCUUGGCUCCUUCUCGUCGAUGUUCAUUGGCAUUCCCGGCUCAUCUGUCUGGGCAUGCUGAAAAGAAAACAGAUUAUAAUAUAUCCAUGUAAACAGACACGGAAUCAAACAAAACUAAAAUGAGAACAUUAAUGAACAAGCAAUUAAGUCUAAAAAAAACCCAGAACAACUUGGGCACUCAGACCAACGAGCCACAACUUGGGUGCUCAAACCCACCCACAACUUUAAGUGGGACACUGUCUAGCUAAGAUGUAGAUAUAACACAGCACAGUAAAAGGAUACAAAUAAAAUUCAGCUUCUUCAUUGUCACCGUUUAACUUUUAGUUUGGAAAAUAAUACAUUGUUUGGGGUUUCAUAAACUUCAGUUCACACUUUUUCCCUCUGGUCCUAACUUAUCAGGCUCGCAAUAAAAAGCAAAAUAAAAAACCUCUGAAUUAAUUAUACUCACAGUUGUUGCAAGCUCUGCAUUGUCUUGGAACAGCUCGUGGCAGACAUGGCAAUACCAACG